GGUCAGAAAUUCCGGAAUUAGAGGACACCCAACUGGUGUCCACUGCUUGGUGUGCGGGGAAAAUCUCCCACGCAUUUGGUCAUAGAAGGCUUCUCUUGUGUUGAUGAUUGUUGUUGUGGUGGUGUGAGAACAGAUCAAAAAUUGUUUUUCCAAAACAACUUGGUUAAGGCUUACUGAUUUUAGUGAAUCACUUGGAAAGUUACUUUUGGUUUAAUAGAGGGGGAAAACAGUACAAAAGCAGGAAUAUUGGCUAUUUGUCCUGGCUAAAAUAAUCUGAUCAGAGAUUUUGGAAAGAUAUUUUUUAAGAGCUCUACAGUUAAAGGCUAACUUAAUUAAAAUAUAUGUAGAAUAUGUAUGUACACACACACACACACACACACACAUAUUAGAGGCCUCUGUUCUCAUUCUCUCUAUAAAACCUUCUCAAAAGACUGAAUUUCUUUCUUCUUAAUCUCUUGCUAACUAUAUGCAUACCUUCAGUCUGCCUCUCUUUUGCUGACAUGAUUUUUGCCAAAAAUAAUGUAAAACUUCAUUGGCUUUUUGGAAAGCUUAAAUUCUUCCUCUGUGUUUUGAAAUGUAAAUUUGCUACCUUGCCCUCUAAAACUUGGUAAAGGCUUCAGUCAUGUGAGACACAGAAACCUUAACUUGUUCUGUUUACAAAGGCAUAGUUUGAAUACAGCUGUCCUUUUAAACUAAUGAGUUUUACUUUUCUCAUGGCUAAAAUUUAAAAAUCAAAGCUAUAAAACCUUUUUAUUUUAUGUAUACAUGUGUACAGGUCUAUGUUUGCAUAUUGUCUUCAUGGUACUAGUCUGAGGGACCCAGAGGCAGACAACAGCGGAAGCUUGGGGCACAGUGUAGUAAACUGUAAAAACAAAAGAGAAAGGAAGAGACAGAUUCUGUUGGUCUGAUACUGUCUUUAUUACGUCUUUUGAUUGUUUGGAAGACUGAAUUCCCUCUCUAUUAAAAGGAUGCAUUGGAAACAUUGGCUAUUUUUACCAACGCUUUGACUGGAAUGGCAUCUUUUCAGAUAUGGCCAGAUUGCUUUGAGGGAUUGAAGUUGACUUUAUAGAGCCAGUAGAGUGUGAAAAAGACUGGCCUCCUAACCUGUGUACAUGGUUCCCUUAUGAGGUUCUCAACCUUGCAGAAAACUAAAAGCAUGCCAUUUCAAAGACUAGAGAUGAUUCAACAAGUGACGGCAACUGAACUAUAUAAAUCAAUGCCUUGACUGAGAUCUCGGGUUUUUUUGUGUUUUUUUUUGUUUGUUUUUUGUUUUUUGUUUUUUGCCGCCCUAUGAUGCCAUUUCAAUUUGGCUUUUGGGUACUCUUAAAUUUUGUCACUGAGAUGCCUUCUUCUUUCCCCUCAACACGGGGCAGGACUAUUCAGGAAUGGGCCUUCCCAGCAAUGAGGGACACCUUGACACUCAGACUUUGAUCAUCAGUGCUUUCAAUAAGAAAGAUUUUUGAUCAAAAGUGGGAAAUAAGAAAGAAAAGAAACUUCAUUUGAGAAAUGCUAGCCCCCUUUAAUUGUCAGACCCAGAGAACCUUUGAAAUGUGACAGCAUAUGACAGCAGUCAUGCCUUGCCCCCUCCUCCUGAGCUAAAUAAUUAUCUCUUGAAGCCACUAGCUAUGUGGGUUUUAGACUGACACCAAGUAGUCAUAAAAUGUUACAUGCUGGUCACCAUAUAGUUCAACAAUAUAUAUCCACUCACUAAUUAACGUUACUUCUGUAGCCCAACGAGAAUUCCUGUCAAACACCUUGUAUCAGCCCAUUCCUUGUCCCCUUUUGCCUUUAAAAAUCUACUUUUAAUGAAGAUGAAACAGAGUACUCCCCAAGACAAUGUGGAAGUAUGUCCUAGGCCAGUGUCCUCAACCUUGAUCCAAAUAAACUCUCUGUAUU
This is a long non-coding RNA of Pan troglodytes (chimpanzee), 1896 nucleotides long. RefSeq lists it as uncharacterized. The record is from RefSeq and is a predicted model, not a curated record. Lineage: Eukaryota; Metazoa; Chordata; Mammalia; Primates; Hominidae. The transcript has 4 exons.